UGGGGAAUUUUGGACAAUGGGGGCAACCCUGAUCCAGCAAUGCCGCGUGAGUGAAGAAGGCCCUCGGGUUGUAAAGCUCUUUUGUCAGGGAAGAAAAGGCUGUGGCUAAUAUCCACAGCUGCUGACGGUACCUGAAGAAUAAGCACCGGCUAACUACGUGCCAGCAGCCGCGGUAAUACGUAGGGUGCAAGCGUUAAUCGGAAUUACUGGGCGUAAAGCGUGCGCAGGCGGUUUUAUAAGUCUGAUGUGAAAUCCCCGGGCUCAACCUGGGAACUGCAUUGGAGACUGUAAGGCUAGAGUGUGUCAGAGGGGGGUAGAAUUCCACGUGUAGCAGUGAAGUGCGUAGAUAUGUGGAGGAAUACCGAUGGCGAAGGCAGCCCCCUGGGAUAACACUGACGCUCAUGCACGAAAGCGUGGGGAGCAAACAGGAUUAGAUACCCUGGUAGUCCACGCCCUAAACGAUGUCAACUAGUUGUCGGGUCUUAACUGACUUGGUAACGCAGCUAACGCGUGAAGUUGACCGCCUGGGGAGUACGGUCGCAAGAUUA
RNAcentral lists this ribosomal RNA (548 nucleotides) under uncultured bacterium. RNAcentral describes it as "bacterial SSU rRNA". It matches the Rfam family "Bacterial small subunit ribosomal RNA", at positions 355 to 896 of the family's 1533-position model. The record is from RNAcentral.